CCUACGGGGUGCACCAGUGGGGAAUUUUCCGCAAUGGGCGAAAGCCUGACGGAGCAAUGCCGCGUGGAAGUAGAAGGCCCACGGGUCGUGAACUUCUUUUCCCGGAGAAGAAGCAAUGACGGUAACCGGAGAAGAAGCCCCGGCUAACUUCGUGCCAGCAGCCGCGGUAAUACGAAGGGGGCUAGCGUUGUUCGGAAUUACUGGGCGUAAAGCGCGCGUAGGCGGAUAGAUAAGUCAGAGGUGAAAUCCCGGGGCUCAACCCCGGAAUUGCCUUUGAUACUGUUUAUCUUGAGUGCAGAAGAGGUAAGUGGAAUUCCGAGUGUAGAGGUGAAAUUCGUAGAUAUUCGGAGGAACACCAGUGGCGAAGGCGGCUUACUGGUCUGCAACUGACGCUGAGGCGCGAAAGCGUGGGGAGCAAACAGGAUUAGAUACCCUCGUAGUC
RNAcentral lists this ribosomal RNA (442 nucleotides) under uncultured bacterium. RNAcentral's name for it is "bacterial SSU rRNA". It matches the Rfam family "Bacterial small subunit ribosomal RNA", at positions 338 to 795 of the family's 1533-position model. The record is from RNAcentral.